AAGAAAAGCUUUUGUUUUCUGUUAUUUUACAGAAUGCCAUUCUGACACAACUGCGCUUCUUCUGGGACCUGUGCUAUGUAAACAGAUCCUUGUUGUCCUGAAGGACGUACCCAAGUCUCCCAUCUUUAAGACACACUCGACUCUCCUGCCUUUAAGAUAAGGUAAUAAUAUUUUACUGACAAACAAGAAUAGAAAGGAAAAAUUAACAAAUAUUUGUGCUAUUGUACUGCUUGAGCAUCUGAAUAGACUGGCAGAUCUUACCUGCUCUUCUCUCUUCAAGCUAGUGACAGACCACGGCAUGGCAUCUUUGAUUUUCCAUCUCUCAGCCUCCAACAGCACCUGUCAGCCGCCCAUCUGUUGGAGAGAAAACCCAUUUGGCUUCCCUCUGUUGUUAUUUAAGGAAAGGGACCGCAAGUUCUUGCAUCAUUCAGAAGCCUGAGUUCCGUGGGAAACCAUCAGGGUUUGAUUCUUAACUCACACCACAGACAGGAUGUGAGAGCAAGAAGGUCUGGAGGAAUGAACCAUAGCUGAGGAGAACCAAAACCACUAAGGGCUUCUGUGGCUUUCUCACUGCUCCAUGGGGAGUAGGAAGGAUGAGUCAUGAGGCGUGAAAAUCCGCUUGUUCAUGGGACUGUGGGAUACCUGAUGCCCCUAAAUAAAUCAAUGUUCCACGGAAACCAUGGCCAUACUCUGGAGCAAAACAUCUAGCCUAACAUAGUGCUCAGGAGAACUCUCUGUGGCAGGGACAGGGCACCCCACUGGUGCCAGCCUAUCUCCCGGUGGCCUUGGCCUUCAGACAGGUCAGCAAUGACUAUAUGCUCCUCCGAGUCUCCAGGUCUGGCCUAGAGGACAUGGAUAGAGGUGGAGCAGCAGUCCCAUGUUCCCAGCCUGCACCAGUGACCAGUGGAGAGGUCGCCAGCAGGGACAGCUGGCCAAAUCCAUUCAAUCCAGGUAGCUCUGCCUGGCUCCUAGUGGGAACCUGGAGAACACCAAGGAACAAGAUCUCCCUGAAAGUCCUGUCCUAUUGCUCCACAGGGGUUGGCCUGGGCCUCUCGCUCAGACUUACCAGCUCUACCUCAUUUCUCUUCGUGUAGGUGAGUUGAGUUACUCAAGAGCCCGAGUGCGUGUGAUGCUCUUCAGUGGAAGGAGCACAGGAGGGCAGUUCCCUUCUGAAUAUGAGCAAAGAGCUUUAUCAUGGCUUAUGAUUACAAAAAGUGAGAGAAAUAUGGCAAUAGAUCAGGAAAUGUUAGGUGAUGGUCCAGCAGAAAAGGGCAAACCCAAUUAAGUUUGUAGGAAAUUAUAAAAUUAUGGAGUUAUCUAGAGAUUUGGUGUACAGAGAGCAGAAAGACAGGUGUAGGGCUUGGGGGAGAUGAGUCUGGGCUAGCUGCAGGGUGUCCAAGAAGGAACAUUAUCAGAACAACAGAGAUAUCUUAUGGUAGAAAAUAUUUCAAACAAUACAAAAUCUUUAGAAACAAUAAAGCAGAGUCACUUAAUACACGGUUAAAGAUCUGGUUUUGUGGCCCUUGUAUUUAGAUCUGUCCCUAAAACUCGAAUUACUGUGCUGUUUGAUGAUGGUGCUUUGAAAAUCUCACGUAUAUUCUACAGCAUAAUUAGUCUAAAAUACAUUUUUCUCAUUCUUCUUCUGCCUCCUAGGUUUUGUAACCUGCGUGUUUACUCUGCAUCAAGCAAGAUCAGAGUCAAACCCCUGGAUGUGGUGGUGCCUUUCACCACAUUCUUCCUUUAGUCUUUGAUUUUUUCUUGUCUUUUCCCCCCCAUCCCUGACAGGAAAAGCACUGUUCUUUCCAUGCUCCUUGUCUCUGUUUGAAGCAGUCAUAGAAAAAGUGACAAUUAGGAAAUAAAGAACCUACAGUAUCUGCUUUGGCAGGGGCAGCACAUCCCAUUGCUGAGCAGCACCCAGUCAAACCAGUGACUGCCUGAUGGGGUCAGACGGAGGUAUUACUGCCUCAUAUUCUUGGAUAUGCCUGGGAUAUCAUGGAGCGCUCCCACACUGCAGAAUGAGUAAUAAUCCAACAUUAAAGUCGAGCAAUACGCAUUUCAGGACGCUCAACUGCAAUUCGGAAAAUAACGCUGCUUAGGAGCAAAUGUCAGGGCCAGAUAACUUAUUAUUUGGGGUAUCAAGUAACCGUCUGGGGCAGCGUAACAGAUAUAAACUUUGGCCUUCCCGGAUUAUUUUUUUCUGCCAAAACGAUUAAAGGUUGCUAAGCAGUGUCAGUGUAUUUCCCCUAAACUGAGGGAGCGUAACAGAAGUGAAUGAGUUCACUGCAGUCAAACUGAACUUACAUCAAGCCUAAAUAUCAUCGCUAAUUAUGAUUUCUGUUCCCCAAAGCAUGCCAGGCACCUGAAAGAUUUAAUGAAAGCCAAGAUCCUUUCUUCAUGUCAUUUAGAGUGCAGAAGUCCUCUGGUUCAGCCCCCUCUCCAGGUCUUGUCAGGUGGUUGUAAGGCCCUGGUUCAGUGUUCAGGACUAAAUGCUGCCUCAAGCCCCUUUUUCCUUACCCUCUAGACCCCUUCCAACCAAAAUGAUUCUAUGAUUCUGUGAUCCUAUGAUUCUGUGAUUUCCUCUAUCCCAAACAAUAAAACAGAAAAUCUUAUCAAAGCACAACUUUAUGAAAGGGAAGGCACAGAGAGUGGGAAGAAAGAGAAGAUAACAUCCUAAACCAUGAAACGAGCCUCAUUUUCCCAAGGAUCUCACGCGAUAACAUCUCCCUCUUUAUUUUUAUGAGGCAGCAACCAGCCCCUUCCUCUCAACACAUCACUUUCAUGUUUUGUGGGACCUCCACCCUUUUGCCUAGGGGAGGGUUCUGGGUCUGAAGGUCCCCCUGGAGCUCCUGCUCUCCGCUAGUCCCUCUUGUCCCCUCUGGUCACCUCUCCCAUCUGCAGAGGACAUUCUCUGGUGCCUCCAUAGGUCCACAAGCAGAGAGAGAACCCAGAGAGCAAGACUUUCUGUGGAAAGAGGCAUUUCCCAAACAGGCACUUGGGAUCCCAAAGAGGCUCUUGGGACUAUGGUAGAGUGACAAAAGGAAUCUGGGACUGCGUGUGGAGGUGACAUGGCAAAACAGUGUUGUAGUAAAUAAGGGAGGGUCCAGGAUUAUAGGUGAGGACCUGAAAUUAAAAUCAUAGAAUCAUUCUGAUUGGAAGAGACCCUCAAAAUCAUCGAGUCCAACCAUAACCUAACUCCAGCACCAAACCCUGUUCCUAAGAACCUCAUCUACGUGCCUUUUUGUCCCCUCUCACCACUUGCAGGGUCACAAAAAGGAGUCUGUGGUGCACAGCAGAAAACAAUCAGUGGCACAGGGGCCAUCAGUGGUUGUUGAAGGUUCUCCAGGUGAGGACCAGCAGUGGAGACACUGAGUAACGUGGGGCUGGUGCUCACUCCUCCGCUGCAGCCAGCGCCGUGCAGUUCAUCUCUCCAGAUUUCCUAGUAUUUGUUCUCUUGUUCUGGGAAGCGGAGAGAGCUGCGAGAGGCCCAUCUCACAGGGAUGUUUAGAGAAAGGAAAGUCCAUUGUGCAAAAGAAUUUGGUAUUUCAGGGUUUGUUUUCCUUCUGACGCACAGAACAAAACACCACCGUGUCAAAACCUUCCAUAAGGCAAAACAGAAAAAAAAACAGAAAAACAAAAAAACAGACAACAAGCAGUGGUGUUCAGUUUGGAUGUGGUUUGUAGAACGGUUUUUCUUUGCUUUUUGGCUUCUCGCUCUCAGGAUGCCUGCUACUGCAGCUAUUUCAGGAAAACAAAUAAAAAGAAAAAAAAAAAGAAAAGAAGAGAAAACAAAAUCUACACCAGAGCAGAGAAGGGGAGUGGGAGCCUUUCCCCACACCAGGGCCUGACCUCACCUCGGUGGGUUUUGUGUGUGGUGGCACCAGGAUCAAAGCAUCUCCCCCCUUUCUGCCCUGGCUGGGAAGCAGAGCUGCAAAGGAGCCUCUGAGUUUUAAUUGGGAAAACCAGGGAACAGGCAGCACAGAGACCCUGCAAAGCAUCAGCAGAGUUGUUUUGCACCAGCUUUCUUUGAGCAGAAAGGCUCCUGCAAAGCAGUGAAGAAAUUUCAGAGAAGCUGGACAUGAGGGAUGGCUCCCAGCAACCAAACUGGUGGGAAGUCCCUGAUCCAGGCAACACUUUGGGUCAGACCCUCAGUGUUUUCUCCAUAUCCACAGCUCCCAGCCCAGCUUUCGCAUCGUCCCUGCUGGCCCUGCAUGGGCUCGUGUCUCUCCUCAUGCUUCCAGCCCCUGGGACUGUGAUAUUUUGUGGGUACCGGUUGCUUGGAUGAGUUUCCCCCGUGGGGCGACCCAGGGUGCCGAUGCCUUCAGCGACGGCAGAGAGCAGCUCACCACCACCUCUCUCCGCCAGCGUUUUCCGAGCUCUUGGCACGGCUCCCGGCCGCCUUUCACUGCUGCCUUUUCAUUCGCCUUAAUUCACUACGUUUCCUCUUCUUGCUCCUUGUGAGGAACAGAGGGAGAGCUUGUUCCAGCAGACGGGCCCCAUCCGCUCCACCCGGCUCUGCUUGGAGCGAGGGCUGGAAAAGAGGGAUGGAGGGAAGGGGUAUCAUCUCCCACCCCUCCGGGGCCCCGUGUGCCGCCUGCGUGCUGCUUUCCCAGCAAAUACGUCUGAGGCUCCCUGGGACAGGCUCUGCCAUGGCCAUGGCUGCUGCAACUGCUCCAACACCCACCUCCUGUCCCCGUUAGCCUCCCGCUCUCAUCAGCAGCUGCACAGCGAUGCCAACAGCCCCAUUUGCUCCGCGUGCAUCAUGCCUGAGUGCAAGUUGUACCCCACACAGCUUGGCAUCCAAAGCCUUGGGUGUCACAGGGUGGUGAUUCCUCUUCGUGCCCAGAUGGGGCACUGGGAUUAAAUAAUUUGCCAGGGAACCAGGGUAGGGUAACGAUCCCAGUCCCGAUGCCACGAGGCUGACGUUCCUCCCAGGAAGAGCCAAACCCUCCUGCAAGCAGAGCCUUGUCUGGAGCAGGGGACGGAUCCUGCUCGGCAUGGGGCUCAGCUCCCAUCUCACCCAGCCACACCACUUGUUUACUUUCUCUUGCAAAUGCCCUAAACCUUGACAAUGACCUAUUUUUUCCUCCUGUUGCGCAAAGCUUCUUUCCUAGAAAGAGGCUUUACAAUGCUCAGUCCAACCAGCCCAGCUCUCCUCUGUGUAUGGAAAAGCAAACUGUAAAUGACUGGCAGGCUUAGCUUAGCUCCAACACACCCAAAACCCACGGGCGGAUGAGUUGGAAGACUCGGUCAGAUGCUGCACGAAACCAUCCUGCAAGACUACCAGCCUGGUUUGCAGAGGAAUCAGAUAAGCUGGAUGGUGACAAAUGAUUAGGACACACUUAAAGGGCAGCAGUAUAUGUUCCACCACAUCAAGCCUUGUAUGCAGCUACCAGACAUCACACACACCAUGGAGGGAAAGAGGCACCUUGGAGGCACCGUACCUCAUCUGGUCCAUUUUGGAUUUCUGCUGGAAGAAGGGGCGAGUGUGUCCUGGCCUCCAUCAACUGCUCCAUCAGGAUUUCAACAGAUUCAGGUGCAGACUGUUCUGUGCCGGGUGCUGUGGAAGCAUACAAAUAAAUACGGUCCCUGCACUGGAGCUCGCCUCACCGCUUGACCGAGAGUAACUCAGGAUGGACCGGACCCAAAAAGGCUCUUCCUGGGCAGGGAAAUCAGCCCUGCAAUCCCCUGCGCUGUCCCGCUGGCCGGGGCUUGGCAGCGGGGGCUGCGGGCUGACAGCUGACGUCCUCCCGAGCCCGUUUCCUCCGGCUGCUGCCAAACCAUUCGCAGAGCACUCCUCAAAAUGAAUUUUCUGGAAAACAAAUUAAAGGAGGGGUUGCAUCACGCAGCAGACAGCGCAACCAGCGCUCAGCUGCAUGGACAAAUCCUGCCCGUAUUUUCUGGCCUGCGCUGCAUGCACCACAUUGCUCCCAGCUGCUGCGGCGCUGGAAUUUGCAGCUUGCCGUCUAAAUAUACUGUAACAAUAAACUGAUCAAAGCAGCUAAAUAUUAUUGUCUGCUCUCUGAUGGGCAGCGUGGAGUAUGGUCUCCCGGAAACCUCCGGUUGCUUUGUUUUUUCCCCUCUGCAAAACCACAGACAAACAAAAUCGAGGGGGUGGGGAUGGGGAAGCAAAGGAGACAUCGGUGGGCGUUCAGGCAGUGCAGUCAAGGUCUUGGGAGUCAGGAAAUUCCAGUCCCUGAAGGCUGCUGGUUGGAGCACGUGGAGGGCAGCGAUGGGUGGGAGGGAACAGGACAGGCUGCUGGGAAACAGUCCUGAGUUAGGCUGGGAUCUCAGUAGUGUGGGAUCCCUCCCCAGCACUGCCACAUCCUUACCAUGCAGCCUUGGGUACAUCUCUUGAGGUUGUUUGGUCAGGAAUCAUCAGUUAGUCUAGCUGAAGAUGUCCCUGCUCAUGGCAGGGGGUUGGACUAGAUGAGCUUUGGAGGUGACUUCCAACCCCAACUAUUCUAUGAUUCUAUGAUCAGGUGUGCCCAUCCAUUGAGAGCUUCCGUAAGAAACCCAGCAUGCCCCCAAACCCUUCCCCUGUGUGGAUACUGGUAAAUAAAAGAAGCAGGGAUGGGUUCACUGUGCCAGGGGCAGGACCUGCACUGGGACAGGGUUUGGGGUCUCCAGUCAAGCAGGUGCACUCAGUGCCCACUGCAAAUGGACUGUUCUAGAGCACAACUUUGCUUGUGUAAAACCUUCAGCCUUCCAUUGUCCCACAUAUAUCUUUAUUCAGGUGAGCUCAUCCAGGCUGCCACAGAAAACAAGCACUGCUACAAAUGCCUAGUCAUGAAUAAUCAUGCUGGCUAUUUUAAAAAAUUUUUUAUCCUUUGCUGGUUUUAAACAGCAGACUAUUCAUUUUAAAUGUUUUAUUCAGUCUCCAGUAGAGAGAUGAUGUAUAAGAGGUCAAGGGAGAUUGUUCCUCCCACUGUAGUCUGCCCUGCUGAGGCUGCACAUGGAGUUUUGUGUCCAGUUCUGGGCUCCCCAGUUUAAGAAGGACAAGGACUUACUGGAGGGAGUUCAGCACAGAGCUACAAAGAUGCUGAGGGGUCUGGAACAUCUUUCUUAUGAGGAGAGACUGAGAGAGCUGGGGCUGUUCAGCCUGGAGAAGAGAAGCUGAGAGGGGAUCUCAUCAAUGUUUAUAAAUAUCUCAGGGUGGGUGUCAAGAGGAUGGACCAGACUCUGUUCAGUGGUGCCCAAUGACAGGAUGAGGGGCAACGGGCACAGACUGAAACACAGGAGGUUCCAUCUGAAUA
Columba livia (rock pigeon) is the source of this 7253-nucleotide long non-coding RNA. RefSeq lists it as uncharacterized. The record is from RefSeq and is a predicted model, not a curated record. NCBI's taxonomy places the organism in Eukaryota, Metazoa, Chordata, Aves, Columbiformes, Columbidae. The transcript is spliced from 5 exons.